AGUGAACGCUGGCGGUAGGCCUAAUACAUGCAAGUCGAACGGCAGCACAGUAAGAGCUUGCUCUUACGGGUGGCGAGUGGCGGACGGGUGAGGAAUACAUCGGAAUCUACUUUUUCGUGGGGGAUAACGUAGGGAAACUUACGCUAAUACCGAAUACGACCUACGGGUGAAAGCAGGGGAUCUUCGGACCUUGCGCGAUUGAAUGAGCCGAUGUCGGAUUAGCUAGUUGGCGGGGUAAAGGCCCACCAAGGCGACGAUCCGUAGCUGGUCUGAGAGGAUGAUCGGCCACACUGGAACUGAGACACGGUCCAGACUCCUACGGGAGGCAGCAGUGGGGAAUAUUGGACAAUGGGCGCAAGCCUGAUCCAGCCAUACCGCGUGGGUGAUGAAGGCCUUCGGGUUGUAAAGCCCUUUUGUUGGGAAAGAAAAGCAGCAGGUGAAUACCCCGCUGUUCUGACGGUACCCAAAGAAUAAGCACCGGCUAACUUCGUG
Molecule: ribosomal RNA, 492 nt
Filed under: uncultured bacterium
Lineage: Bacteria
Description: partial 16S ribosomal RNA
Rfam family: Bacterial small subunit ribosomal RNA
Source: RNAcentral